Molecule: transfer RNA, 82 nt
Rfam family: tRNA
About the family: Transfer RNA (tRNA) molecules are approximately 80 nucleotides in length. Their secondary structure includes four short double-helical elements and three loops (D, anti-codon, and T loops).
GGCCUGAUGGUCUAGUAGUAUGAUUCCUUGUUAGGGUAAUACCAAUUCGAGGAGGUCCCGGGUUCAAUUCCCGGUCAGGCCC